Molecule: ribosomal RNA, 397 nt
Filed under: uncultured bacterium
Lineage: Bacteria
Description: partial 16S ribosomal RNA
Rfam family: Bacterial small subunit ribosomal RNA
Source: RNAcentral
AUACGUAGGUGACAAGCGUUAUCCGGAUUUACUGGGCGUAAAGGGCGUGUAGGCGGUCUUGCAAGUCAGAAGUGAAAUUCCUGAGCUCAACUCGGGCGCUGCUUCUGAAACUGCAGGACUUGAGUGCUGGAGGGGAUAGCGGAAUUCCUAGUGGAGCGGUAAAAUGCGCAGAUAUUAGGAAGAACACCGGUGGCGAAGGCGGAUAUCUGGACAGUAACUGACGCUGAGGCGCGAAAGCGUGGGGAGCAAACAGGAUUAGAUACCCUGGUAGUCCACACUGUAAACGAUGAAUGCUAGGUGUAAGAGGUAUCGACCCCUUUUGUGCCGGAGUUAACACAAUAAGCAUUCCGCCUGGGGAGUACGGCCGCAAGGUUGAAACUCAAAUGAAUUGACGGGG